This 400-nucleotide ribosomal RNA is filed under the name uncultured bacterium. RNAcentral's name for it is "partial 16S ribosomal RNA". It matches the Rfam family "Bacterial small subunit ribosomal RNA", at positions 338 to 735 of the family's 1533-position model. The record is from RNAcentral.
CCUACGGGAGGCAGCAGUGAGGAAUAUUGGUCAAUGGACGCAAGUCUGAACCAGCCAUGCCGCGUGCAGGAUGACGGCCCUAUGGGUUGUAAACUGCUUUUGUACGUGGGUAAAGUCCGAUAAGCAUAUCUCUCUGCAUGUAUCGUACGAAUAAGGAUCGGCUAACUCCGUGCCAGCAGCCGCGGUAAUACGGAGGAUUCGAGCGUUCUCCGGAUUUAUUGGGUUUAAAGGGAGCGUAGGCGGUUUGUUAAGUUAGUUGUGAAAGCCCGAGGCUCAACCGUGGAAUUGCCGCUGAUACUGGUAGCCUUGAGAGCAGUUGAGGUAGGCGGAAUUCAUGGUGUAGCGGUGAAAUGCUUAGAUAUCACGCAGAACACCGAUUGCGAAGGCAGCUUACUGAGCU